RNAcentral lists this ribosomal RNA (573 nucleotides) under uncultured bacterium. RNAcentral describes it as "partial 16S ribosomal RNA". It matches the Rfam family "Bacterial small subunit ribosomal RNA", at positions 355 to 926 of the family's 1533-position model. The record is from RNAcentral.
UGAGGAAUAUUGGACAAUGGGUGAGAGCCUGAUCCAGCCAUCCCGCGUGAAGGACGACUGCCCUAUGGGUUGUAAACUUCUUUUAUACUGGGAUAAACCUACCCUCGUGAGGGUAGCUGAAGGUACAGUAUGAAUAAGCACCGGCUAACUCCGUGCCAGCAGCCGCGGUAAUACGGAGGGUGCAGGCGUUAUCCGGAUUUAUUGGGUUUAAAGGGUCCGUAGGCGGGCUCGUAAGUCAGUGGUGAAAUCUCAUAGCUUAACUAUGAAACUGCCAUUGAUACUGCGGGUCUUGAGUAAAGUAGAAGUGGCUGGAAUAAGUAGUGUAGCGGUGAAAUGCAUAGAUAUUACUUAGAACACCAAUUGCGAAGGCAGGUCACUAUGUUUUAACUGACGCUGAUGGACGAAAGCGUGGGGAGCGAACAGGAUUAGAUACCCUGGUAGUCCACGCCGUAAACGAUGCUAACUCGUUUUUGGGUUUUCGGAUUCAGAGACUAAGCGAAAGUGAUAAGUUUAUGCCACCUGGGGAGUACGUUCGCAAGAAUGAAACUUAAAGGAAUUGACGGGGGUCAUAGC